This 180-nucleotide small nuclear RNA is filed under the name Zea mays. RNAcentral's name for it is "U2 spliceosomal RNA". It matches the Rfam family "U2 spliceosomal RNA". Rfam says of the family: U2 is a small nuclear RNA (snRNA) component of the spliceosome (involved in pre-mRNA splicing). Complementary binding between U2 snRNA (in an area lying towards the 5' end but 3' to hairpin I) and the branchpoint sequence (BPS) of the intron results the bulging out of an unpaired adenosine, on the BPS, which initiates a nucleophilic attack at the intronic 5' splice site, thus starting the first of two transesterification reactions that mediate splicing. The record is from Rfam by way of RNAcentral. Lineage: Eukaryota; Viridiplantae; Streptophyta; Magnoliopsida; Poales; Poaceae.
CUCAUUUUUCAGUCUUUUGGCUAAGAUCAAGUGUAAUAUUUGUUUUACUAGUUCAAUAUCUGGUAUAUGAACAAUAAGUUCACUUUGAUAUUAAAUUCAUUUAUCAUGGGUAUUUUUAUGUGAAGGGUCCAUUAAAACUCUAGUCAUCCAAUCAAUAUCAUCGAAUAUGGUUGGAUACCA